This is a long non-coding RNA of Dreissena polymorpha, 4913 nucleotides long. RefSeq lists it as uncharacterized. The transcript has 3 exons. The record is from RefSeq and is a predicted model, not a curated record. Lineage: Eukaryota; Metazoa; Mollusca; Bivalvia; Myida; Dreissenidae.
CUUUUAUGCAGUUGCUGGAUUCCCGAAUGUAAUUGGCUGCAUAGAUGGAACACACAUCCGCAUUCAGGCACCUCAUGAUGAUGAAGCUUCAUAUGUCAAUCGGAAAGGCUUUCACAGCAUAAAUGUCCAAGCUGUCUGUGAUCAUCAAGGGAAAUUUACAAGUGUCAAUGCCAGUUGGCCAGGGUCAUGCCAUGACAGCCACAUCUUCAGGACGUCGGGUCUCUGUGCAAAGCUGGAGCGGGAGCAUACAAACUUUGCAGAUGGUGUGCUGUUAGGAGAUAGUGGUUACCAAUGCAAAGUGUAUAUGAUGACUCCUUUCCUGGCGACGGAUUCGGUGGCAAAGGAAAGGUAUCAGCAGGCCCAAACCCGGACCUCAAAGAAUAUGCAAAAAUAUAUGCUUGUGUAAUGUUGGCAACUAGGCAAGGAAAAUAAAACGUAAAACAUUACUCGUAAAAUAUGUACAUACUGACACAAUCCAGAACGGCAAAAUCAAUUUAUUUAAAAACAUACUUUCAAAUAAAGUAGACGCCAUGUAACAUUAAACACUGUUUAUGUUGUUACAAAUAUUUUACUUUUUACUUUUUGUGUGUCUCCAUUUAAAAACAAACAUUAGGCUUGUGUGCUCAAUUCGAAUUGUUCUCCAGAUUGUGUGUGCGUGUAUUUCGGAGUUUAUGAGGCCCUUCAGCGUCUAAAGCUGCAUUUUUAGAUGCCCUGGGGUGUGCCCCAGUACUCCUACCGUAUUAAUUUAAUUCUCUCACUCAAUUGUGGACGACUUUGGUUUUGAAUUAUACCAGCAUUUUAACGGAAAGUUUUUACUAUUAGUGUGAUAUUGUGCCGUUUGGGUAAGCAUGAGUAUCCGGAGAAAACCGUGCCUGUCCGGUAUGGUGACCACCACAUGCUUCCGGGAAAUAGUCUUGAACCCGGAUCGCUAAGGAGAGAAGCGCGUGUACCAAUCACUACGCUAAGUCGACAGCCACUUUAUGGAUUCACCGAUAAUCAACCCGCUUAAAUAUAAAGUAGUGUCGGUCCGGGGCAACCGGUACUUUUAAAGCCGGGAUCUACACUUGUGGCCAUAUGAAGGUCAAACGGGGAUGAAAGAAACCCUUCGUGAGUUGAAACUGCAGCUUCUUGACAUGCUGCCCUUAGCUCUUAUUGUAAACACAAGUCAAGCGUCCAAUGAUUGGAGUACAUAUGAUUACUACUAUCUUAACCAAGGUCCAUUUGCUAGUGCACAAGAUCUCCUACAGGCAUACAACACAGGUUCCAUAAGGAAAAAAAAAAUUCCGCCUGGAUACAGAGACACGGUUGCAAAGAGGUACUAUACCGGUCAGGAGGAUUCCAAACCGCUACGAGCCAACGCAUACAUGCCUCCGCCCGAACAUACGAGCCGAAAGGUCCUAGGUCAAUGUCAUACUGUCGGCUGGAUGGGUUGGUCCUUUGAUGUCACAACGAAAAUGUUGCGUGGUCCGGCACUGUUUAAUGUGUAGUUCAAGAAUCAAAGUGUUUCGUAUAAAAUAUCUCUCAAUGAAAUUGCACUGAUAUAAGGAAGUGACUCGUUCGAAAGGGAAGAUGUGUUCUUUACUGAUGCUAUCUAUGGGAUCGGAUUUUAUUCAGAGACAAUGCCAGGUGUAGACUGUCCUGAAUAUGGUCACCUUCUGGAUACGAGCUAUUACAAUGCACAACCAGGGCAAGCCGUUAUAACCAAAUCGUUAUGUAUUUUCGAGAGUGAUGUCGAGGGACCACUCUAGCGUCAUAAGGCCAAUUGGUACCAGUCUUGCCUAAGAGAUUCUUGCCUCGUUGUUCGGAUUGUUUCAUUUCAAACUAAACGACCAGCUCGCUACAAAAAUGAAAGCAACUGGACACAUUCAGACGUCAAAUGGGGAUGCGAUUUUCCGAAUCACGGAAAUCUUAGUAUUGAUGAUAGCCCGAGUGCAAGGGAUCCUUUUGGUUAUCGGAUCGGAGAUUUUUCACAUGAAUUAUUAAUGAUCAUAUGUUCGACGUCAAAGUUUACCUUUCUGUUGUGGUUAUUUCUAAUAUCCUGUAUGUGUCAAUAGUAAUUUGAUGCCUUAACUUGGAAGUUACCUUGAAAGAUUAACUGUUUUUGGUGGGGGUUGUUCUAUUGUAUAGGGCUUUUGUUGAAAUAAUGCUUCAAAAAAAACUUUUCUACGGUUGAUCCAUUCGAUAGCGAUUUAUUUUCUUAGAAGUAGCGAGACGGUAUGUUUUGGAUUGAAGUUUAUGGAAAAGGACAUAUCAAUCGUAAAAAUAAUACAAGGUUCACAUAUAUUAAAACGUCGGAAAGGCAAGAAAAAACGUUGAAAUUUGUCAAUUAUAUUAUUAGAUCAUGUUAUAAUGGGACACUGUGGGACUCGGUUUUAGUUUAAUAUAACCUUAAACCUUAUGCAAAGAAAACUGAACAUGUGAUAAUGUUAUAGUUAUCGCAAAUCCCGUUUACUCGUGACACUAUUUUCUUACAUUUAACUAAGAUUGAUUUGUCUUUACAUUUGUCAUAAGCAAAUGAACCGGCAUUUAAAAAAAGUGUAAACAUGUAAACUUAAUGCAGGAAAUGCAAAUAUUUGUAAAACAUUCCAUAUAGAAAUCUUAAUGAUUUUUUUCUCACUUGAGGAAUAAUUUAAUUGGUAAUUUAACAUAAUCUUAAGCCGUGAUUUUUAAAUUAAAGACUAAUACAAUUUACGUUGAGACAGGGUUGAUGAUUAAAUAAAGAAAUACGUCUUUUUAAUACAUCUUAUUAAUAAAACUGAUAGUGAUAAGUUACAUAGCUCUUAAUCCCUCGCCUACAUAAUAUAUAAUCCUAUAAUGCAUACGCUAUGUUAAAUAUGAAGGGAAUAGCAAUAAUUGAACAUCUUUAUAGUACUAUAAAUAACGCAAAAUUAUGUAGUAUUAACAUGCUUUCUUGUAUCUCGUUUUGAGCUUUUUUUAUUAUUUUAAUACAGAUCAAUAAAGUAUGGAAGGAGAAUAAUCCUUAAAAGGCAACAUGUAUACAUACACGGGUAUGCGAGGAGUAUAGCGUUUCAACGAAUAAUAGCACGUGCGGAUAAACUACUAUGGCAUAUAAUAUAACUUUCAUUUAAAUAGCUGUUAACUAGUUAUUUGCCAAAUUUAUUAUGGAUCAUCGCCUUGAAGUAUUCGUCUGCUAGGUUUAAUGGCCUUAAUCCGAUUGUUUAAACGCAUUUCAAAGCGUUUCGAGGAAAGCAGAUAAACGCAACAGGGCAGAAUUCCAGUAAAAUAGGAUUGCAAAAAUAAACUGUCCAAAAGUCGAGAGCUAUUAUUAAUGUAGGAAAACCCAUAUUUUAAAUUUGGAAUCAGGCAAAAACAUUUUCGCUAGAAACGAAACUUUUCCCUCAAACAAUGAGUUUGCUUAGCAAUAAUACUGUUACAUAAGAAGGAAACCAAAUAUAACUCAAAUAUAACAAAUUCAGUGGCCUAAUCCUUAUAUAUGCAUAUGUCAUUAUAUGAUUUUGAAAUGUCCAUAUUUUUAUUCGCUGACGAUAAAGCAUUAGAAUCGGAUAUUGUUUCUGCAUUGGAGCAACGACUGAACUAUUUGCAGUUACGUAUGUAUAUGCAACUAUUGCACUGAAUAUAAUUUAGAAGUUUUUUUUUAAAUAAUUUUUAAACAAUUCAUCCUCUAGAAAAUCAUGUAAAUUUGUUUAAUAUAUACAAGUGCUAAAAAUGUUUAUAAAAGCAAAACGCAUGUUUCGCUGCUUUUCUAAGAUGAGUGCCUGGCCAUGCCCUUUUAUUGUUAUUUUAAGUUAGUUCAUAUGUUUUUAUGCAUUUUUUAUUUGAUAACAUUUCCUGGUUAGUUAUACAAAUGGGUAUUUUCUGAGCAACAUUUUUCCUCUCUAGCAUUUGGUUUUGUUUGGAAUAAAAAAUACGUCGUAAAAACAACACUUGUUUAUGCCACCGGUAGGGUGUCACGGAAUAGUCGCACUAUCCGUCCGUAUGUCCGUACGUCCCUCGGCAUCCAGGUCAGAUGUUUUUCCCCAAAACGCUUUAAGUUAUAUUAUUAUUGACUAUGUAACGGGCAUAGGACUUAACAUUUUUCUGAAAAAUAUUAUUCUUUUGGAAUUUAUUUAUAAAAGCUUGCAUAUAUUGAACAGAUUAGUUGUGCUUGAGUCUACCUUUAUGACUUAAAGAUCAAGUUUGCUUUUUUCCGGUUAAUUGAUAUCUGACGAUGUUACGGGCAAGGGAAUUUUCUUUAAAAUAAAACUUUUCCGGAAUUAUUUCCGAAACAAUUUCAGAAACGUAUCUAUUUUAGGUGUGUGGGUCUUCCUACAUGACUUACGAAACAAGUUAGAGUUUCGUUCCGGUCCUUCGAUUUUUAGUAAAUUACGGACCUGGGACUUAACCAUUUCUCUAAAAUAGCUUCAAAGUGCAGUUGGGAUGGGGGUUGCAUUGUGUACAAAAACACAGCUAUUGUUGUUUCAAUAUUUACAAGGCUCUAAAAUGUAUUUUUAUACAGUGUUGAUCUCCAAAUUACAAUGCUUUUUUCUAAUUGAGUUAUAAACGUAGGGUUUUAAGAUGAUUAGACGAUUUGUCUUUGUUCAUUUAGACACGCGUAUGUCUGUCUCAGAACAGCAACCGAUCAACCAAUGAUUGAACAAGGCAGAUAUAAUCUAGAUUAAAAUAAAAGACUAUGCCAAAUGUGAAAAUCAGUUGCUGAAAACGGAGGUUGUCUUGCUGAUGUCUUUCAUAUGCAUAAAGUUUAUUACCAAACUGAAUUACGUGAUGAAAACGUUCUAAGAAAAAACGGAAUAUGUUGCGUAUAUCACAAGCUGUCUGGCUUCGCCACAAACGAGUUUUACUUUGUUCACAAUAACAUGUAUUGGUUUACUUUAUUGUUUACAUAUUGAUUUAUGUGUAUUUUGUAGCAAGGGUCGGUGGACCAAAAAAGCAAA